Rattus norvegicus (Norway rat) is the source of this 1388-nucleotide long non-coding RNA. Ensembl lists it as uncharacterized. NCBI's taxonomy places the organism in Eukaryota, Metazoa, Chordata, Mammalia, Rodentia, Muridae. The record is from Ensembl.
CCUAGGAAUGGCUGACUCCAUGGCAGUGUGUGCUUGUGGCUUCAGGUUUUACAUGACUGAAAGUGAAUAUGAGAGUCUGGCCUUGCCCUAGAUAUCUCUGCAUCUGCCAACUGGGACCCAUAUUUGGAAGCUUCUGUAUCCUCCAAGUUAAUACCACCAGCUGUGACCACUUCUAAGCAGAGACUACGGUGCCUGGCAGAGUUCUUAGAAUUUAGUGGAUUUUCAACAUAGGCUUAUAUUUAACGAAUUAAUAAUGAAAGGCUUGAUUCUUCUGACAUCUUCCUUUAUGGUAAAGACAGUGAAUGGAAAAUCAGAGCUGAAGAAGAGGAGAUGCUUUUCAACGGACCUCUCAUUUGAAGUCCAGUGAGCACACAAUCAAGCGUUGGUCUUGCCAUCUCCGUUUCCGAGACUUGCCAGGUAUUUCCUGGGCUGUCAGCUGUUAGCUGGAGUGUGUGCAGGGUUCUGAGAGGUAUGGAGCCACAGGGAGCUGCAGUUUUAGCUCCUAGCUAUACUCGGCACCUCAGUUCCCAUGAAGAAUCAGCCUUCUCUCCUCCUGCUGGGAACCCCUCCUGGUGAGGGAUCCUGGGGGUGGCAGCCAUCUUCCCACAGCCUGUCACUGAGAGGAAAGAAUGGCACUGGGUCCAGUGUAACUGGAGGAUGUGACAACUGGAAGGACACAUGAGUGAUGGAGAAAUGUCUUUGUAAUCAGAACUAUUCGUUGGCCCUCAGCAUCUCCUAUCCAUUCCACUACGCAGACGGGGAGACUGAGUCAGUGGUGACUGGGAGAUCUGCACUGGCUCAGUCAGAAGCAAGACCAGACUGUUUCCAAGCUCUGAGCUGAAAGUGUCUGUGCUAGCUUUAUGCAGUUGCUGACCCGUUCCCGCUGGUGGGCACUUUGAUAAAUCAUUUCAAUUAGAAACAGAUGUUAUCAUGCUACACACAGAGAUGUAUCUUCCCAAGGUUCCAAACCAGCGAUGUUGCUAUUUAUGACUUCCAGUCGGUGUGUGGUCAGUGCUGGCCUAACCUCACACACGAACAAAUAAGCACACGGCAACGUUAGCUUUGGUGUUUCAGGAGAGCCGAGUAUAGAGUUGUGUGUCCUCCCUAGACAUAAGAUUAAUCUUGUUUGGGAAAUGGGCAGGGGAAAUAAGAGUUUGGGUUUUUGUGCAAAACAUCCAGCAAAUAACACAACAAAGGAGACUGUAGGAAUCUCUGUCUGGGAGGUAAUCACUGAAACAGCCUUCCUCACUCCAUGACACCUGGUUGAAACCAUCAUAGUUUGAGGACCUAAACUUGCAUGAAGAGGCAGUCCCAUGUCAUUUCUCCCGUAUUUAAUAUUCAUAUGGCUUUUGUUUUCUGAUAAUGACUCCCACUUAGCAAUAAAAUUA